AUUGAACGCUGGCGGCAUGCCUUACACAUGCAAGUCGAACGGUAACAGGUCUUCGGAUGCUGACGAGUGGCGAACGGGUGAGUAAUACAUCGGAACGUGCCUAGUAGUGGGGGAUAACUACUCGAAAGAGUGGCUAAUACCGCAUGAGAUCUACGGAUGAAAGCAGGGGAUCGCAAGACCUUGUGCUACUAGAGCGGCCGAUGGCAGAUUAGGUAGUUGGUGGGAUAAAAGCUUACCAAGCCGACGAUCUGUAGCUGGUCUGAGAGGACGAUCAGCCACACUGGGACUGAGACACGGCCCAGACUCCUACGGGAGGCAGCAGUGGGGAAUUUUGGGCAAUGGGCGAAAGCCUGAUCCAGCAAUGCCGCGUGCAGGAUGAAGGCCUUCGGGUUGUAAACUGCUUUUGUACGGAACGAAAAGCCCCGGGUUAAUACCCUGGGGUCAUGACGGUACCGUAAGAAUAAGCACCGGCUAAUUACGUGCCAGCAGCCGCAGUAA
Molecule: ribosomal RNA, 498 nt
Filed under: uncultured bacterium
Lineage: Bacteria
Description: partial 16S ribosomal RNA
Rfam family: Bacterial small subunit ribosomal RNA
Source: RNAcentral